RNAcentral lists this long non-coding RNA (574 nucleotides) under Physcomitrium patens. RNAcentral describes it as "long non-coding RNA (PPAT_LNC009538)". The record is from RNAcentral. Lineage: Eukaryota; Viridiplantae; Streptophyta; Bryopsida; Funariales; Funariaceae.
GUUAGGAUUUGGUUAGGAUUUGUUUAGGAUUUGUUUAGAGUUUAUUUAAGAUCUGGUUAGGAUUUUUUUAGGAUUUGAUUAGGAUUUUUUUAAGAUUUCAUUAAGAUUUGGUUAAGAUUUGUUUAAGAUUUUGUUAAGAUUUAUUUAGGAUUUAAUUGGGAUUUAUUUAGGAUUUUUUUAGGAUUUAUUUAAGAUUUGAUUAGGAUUUGAUUAAGAUUUUUGUAGGAUUUGACUAGGAUUUGAUUAAGAUUUUUUUAGGAUUUGAUUAGGAUUUGGUUAAGAUUUGUUAGGAUUUGACUAAGGUUUAUUUAGGAUUUGAUUAAGGUUUGACUAGGAUUUGACUAAAAUUUGAUUAAAUUUUGAUUAAGAUUUAAUUAAGGUUUUUAUUUUAAUAUUUUAUGAAGUUUUUUAUUUUAGUAUAUUUUUGAAUUUCUAUAUUAUUUCUUUAUGACUCUUUAAAGGUUCUCAAGGAAUACUUUGUGUUUCUUAUAUAAUUCCUUUGAAAUUUUGAUUGAAUUUGAUUGAUGUUUGAUUAUACUUGCUAAUCUUUAAUUAUAAUUUGUUUAAGAAUCUA